GACCGCGUAGCUCAGUAGGCAGAGCAUUGGGGUAGUAUUCCAAAGGUCGUAGGUUCGAUUCCCACCGUGGCCA
RNAcentral lists this transfer RNA (73 nucleotides) under Paramuricea clavata. It matches the Rfam family "tRNA". Rfam says of the family: Transfer RNA (tRNA) molecules are approximately 80 nucleotides in length. Their secondary structure includes four short double-helical elements and three loops (D, anti-codon, and T loops). Further hydrogen bonds mediate the characteristic L-shaped molecular structure. tRNAs have two regions of fundamental functional importance: the anti-codon, which is responsible for specific mRNA codon recognition, and the 3' end, to which the tRNAs corresponding amino acid is attached (by aminoacyl-tRNA synthetases). tRNAs cope with the degeneracy of the genetic code in two manners: having more than one tRNA (with a specific anti-codon) for a particular amino acid; and 'wobble' base-pairing, i.e. permitting non-standard base-pairing at the 3rd anti-codon position. The record is from Rfam by way of RNAcentral. Lineage: Eukaryota; Metazoa; Cnidaria; Anthozoa; Malacalcyonacea; Plexauridae.